AUACCUUUCUCGGCCUUUUGGCUAAGAUCAAGUGUAGUAUCUGUUCUUAUCAGUUUAAUAUCUGAUACGUGGUUCAUUGGAUCACAUGAUAUUAAAUUUAUUUUUUGAGUGGGGGAGUCCAACGCAGUAGCUUGCUACUGGGCUCUCGAGCGUCGCCCAGGUUUUGCACUAUUGCUUGGGCCUGGCGCACCACAC
Non-coding RNA from Gossypium raimondii (Peruvian cotton), 195 nucleotides. The record is from Rfam. Lineage: Eukaryota; Viridiplantae; Streptophyta; Magnoliopsida; Malvales; Malvaceae.